Molecule: long non-coding RNA, 6814 nt
Filed under: Olea europaea (common olive)
Lineage: Eukaryota; Viridiplantae; Streptophyta; Magnoliopsida; Lamiales; Oleaceae
Description: long non-coding RNA (OEUR_LNC012482)
Source: RNAcentral
CAACUCAAGUUGGUCAUUUCUGUAUCGAUAAGUAAUUAUAUCUUAAGAAGAAACCAAGAAAAAGCGAAAAGCGUUUUGAGUGCUGGAAGGAAAGAAAGGUAAAGGAAAAAGGCUCAAGUUUCCCAUGCAAUUAACAUAGAAAUGACUCACUAUUCAAGUCGUCAUCCCAUAAAGUGCCCACCUUUCUAAUAGCGACAACAAAAACACAGUAAACUAAGGAUUGGCUUCAUGAUUUGUUUCACCUCUCCUUUGGUUGCUAUGUCUAGAUUAAUUCCUUUAGGUUAUUAACUAUAACUAGAUACCAAAACUUCAAUUACAAUUCAAGCAUUCGUUAAUUCGAAGAGUUAAUAAUUAUAAAGCAAACAAAACAGCAAAUUAAAAAGAAUCAGAGACGGAAAGGGAGGGAAAAUGGAACCUGGGCGCCUUCUUUUUCAAUUGGUUCGAAUCUUCAACCAAGUCUGUUUCAUACAGAAUAUCAACUUAAACUGCAAUACUUUUCUCUGUACAUACACAGGACACGAUAAGAACACAAGAGGGUUUCCAGUUUAAUUGAACAGGAAAGUAAAUGAAAACGGCUAAAAAUAAAGAAGAAAUUACCAACAACCCAUGAAACACCAUUGAUUUUGCGUUUACGAAUUCAAGUAAUAAGCGUAAGCCCAUAGUUUCAAAUCACAUGACUUCAUGUCUCUUACGCAAGCGAGUUGCGGUGAUGAAAUCAUCACUGACAUCACAUGCUGCGUCAUCGAACAAUUAAACAUUAACAUUUAUGAAUAUUAUAGGUCGGCAGGGCAUUGGACAGUGAGGAUCUGACUGUUUUGGCAGAAUACUACGUUUUUGAUACGGAAGAGCAUCGGCACAGCCGAUGAGCUUUUUCUUUCCAACCCAGCUACACGCAGUCGGUGUACAAGCCCAGCUUUUUCUUUCCAGCCCAGAUCCGAUCAUUAAUUCGGUGUGGACCCCUCUCCUCACGUGACAAGAGUAUAUGACCUUUUAUUUUUUAUUUUUUUUUAUCUUUUUCUAACGAGCAAUUCAAACAUGUUACAGGAGCAGGCUCAUUGAUGGCAGAUAAUUGCCAAUCAAAAGCUACUAACUCAUUCCCCGUAAAUAAACCCAUAAAAUAUGACCAAACUUUUAUCAAGGUUCACAAAUUGUGACCACCCGAUUUUUGAAAAAAAUAAAAAUAAAAAUAAAAAUCCCUGAGUUUGUUAAUUUUGAAAAUAUAACUUCAAACCUUUGUAGUUAUGUAAUUAUUUUUCUUAUUUUGAUUAUUUUACAAUAAAUUUUAUAACACAAUGUGUUAUACUUCGUAAAAUUGUGUAACGUUCCACCACCCUUAUUUUUGUCGUCGUUGUUGUUACUAUCACUUAUAACAGUUAUUGACAUUUUACCACCUAUUUCAUACAAUUUCAACCGUCAGUCACCCCAACUUAUAAUAUUUAACGUUACAUCACCACUUGCAACAUUUAUCUAUCAUGUAGUUAAAUAAUCUAGAAUGAUGAGAUAUUAUAGCCUUUGAUUGAUCCUUAUUAUUUUUAAAAUACAUUUUCCCUCUUUUCUUUUCAAACACACAUUUAAUAAAAUAAUAUUACACGUAAACGCAAAACAUUUUUUUAUUUUCUACUCACACAUUCUACAUCAAUAUAUCAAUCUAAAAUGCAUUCUUGGCCAAAUAAUAAGGUUCAACAAAGAGCAUAAAAACCACGCGUUUUUUGGUUUAUGAUGAAAAAAUAAACUCCAAAAUUCCUAUACCAGAAGUAAAAUAUCAUCUGGUGACAAACAUAAUUAGAGCAAUCAGAGAAACAAAAGGAGGACAUCAGCUAAUAAAAUUCACUUCUUGUCACAAUCCGUGUGAUGCAGUGAGGCGAGCACGAAAAUAAAGCAGCAAUCUAGAGGCCAAAUAGCAAUUUUAGUUCUUGAAAAGUUCCAAACAGUGUUCCUGGUCAAGGUUCCGACUCCAGAACUUCUUGUAAUACUCCGCGUAUGUGAAAUCCCGAUAAAUGGAUGGAGAUCCAUCGUUUAUAAGAUCCUUUGGUGCAACGAUCAUUGCACUAUCACACGGGCAGAGGAAGGAAGCUACUGACAAUCUUGCUUUAUCUGAAUUUACUAUAGCUCGAUGCCAAACACUUCUAUAUUUUCCAUUACUCAGCGCCUGGAGAAAAUCAUUCUUAGUUAUCAUCCAAAUCCAUAUUAUAAGCAUUAAAGACCAUAUUAUAUGGUUUUCCAGUAGCCUCAUAUUCAAACGAUCGGAUGGGAUAUUAGAUAUCCUUGCACGUUUUUAGCUUCCAUGCACAUGGUAAAGUAUUGUUUCUCAUCGACACCACACAUUCUAUGAGAAUAAUCCAUCUUCUAAAGGAGACUGACAAAGAAAUAUUAUAAAAGAACCGAUUUUUUGUCGUUCAAUAGGUUAACAGAAUGUAUCAAGUGCUUUAGUUAUGACACAAAUUGCUGGUUUCAUGCACUCUCUUCAUGACCAAAUGCAUUCGUAUUCCAGCUAUAUUCUAUUUCUUACAUUACCACAAUGAAACUAUGCAAAGGUUUUUCAUCACUGGUCCCAAGCCCCCGGGAGAAAGGGGGAUAAAGGGGGAGACGGUUCCAGUAUGUUGAAGUCGCUGUAAAACAUUGUCAAAUCUAAUGACAUGAUUCCUAAUAAACAUUUCAUUGCAAUGACCCAGAAUAGCAUCUUCCACAAAAUUUAGCAAUGAACCAACGAAUGACAGAAAAUAAUUCAUACAGCCGAUCCCGAAAUUUUUGAGAAUUAAGGCUUAAUUUAUUGUUUGUAGUAUUAGAACAAUGCACAAGUUACUAUAUCAGUAAUUUAUUUUCCUAGCACCAAAGAUAAACCUUACCUGCAACUGAUCACCAAUAUUGAUGACAAAAGCAUCCGGGUGGGGUUUUAUUGCUAACCAUUUGCCAUCCAUCAGAACUUGAAGACCCGCAACUAGCAAGUCUUGAAGGAGAAUGGUUAGGGCAUUGGGAUCCGUAUGUGCUGGCAAUCCAUAAGUUAGUUCGGGUUCUGGGCAUGGUGGAUAGUAGUUGACGGCCAUGUGUUGCCCUUGUUCUCCCAACACAUUCUUGAGGCUCUCUUUUUCUAAUCCAAGGCUCUCUGCUAUUAACUCCUGCAAUCUGAACCCGAGAUGUCGAACUUCCAUACAAUAAUUGCUGGCAAUAUCCCUACAAAUUACAAGAAAUAUGUCAUUAUAUUCUUUUGCAUGCAACAAAGAUGGCUUCCUAAAGAUGAUACAGUUGGUGAUCGAGGAACGGAUCAAAGAAUUAUAGGAACAGCUUUUGUAGAUCUACAUCCUUGGAUUGCUUGUCGAUGCAUCACGCUAAAAGGAAAAAAGCUAACUUGUUUAUCAAAUAAAGCGUUAUUAAAACGAAUAGCCUUUAAAAUUUAUAUAGGGAACACGCAGAAGGCAUGAAUAUGAUUUGGGUACCUUUUUGUUAAAAGUUUUAUUUUCUUAUAGACUCCUAGGAGCUUAGUCAUAAUAGUACACGAUCUAGGCUGACCAUGUUAGGAGAGGGAAAGGAAAACCAAAACUAACAUGAUUAGUCGUACUCUCUAAGGAUUUGAUAGCUUUGAAUCUCCAGGCAACGAACAACAAAGCGGUGGAAAAGGAUUCAAGUAGCAGUUCCCAAAUUUCUGGGAAACGAGGCUUAGUAUGUUGUUGCAAAUUUAAUGGGUACCUUUUAUAUUGUUUAAACUCGAGGCUACAUAUUUAUUCCAUUUAAGAAGAUUCCUAGUUAUAAUCUCGUGGACUAUUGAUAUCGAGAUACAAGUAAUUUUGGAAAGGAAAUAGUUGCCUUGUUGCUUACUUAAAAGAAGAGGGAGUGGUAGGCCACUCGGGUACAUAUUUCUCUAAUGGAUAGCAGUGAAGCCUGAGAUAAUCUCUCCAAUUAUGAACAGUCUCCUUCUUCACAUUAAAACUUGUAGACAAUCUCACUGUCUUGGACGGGUCAUCAGAGUACAACUUCAUUUUCUCUUCCACCGGUAAACUAAAAAAUUCAUGACCCACUGCUAGCAUUUUCUGGAUUGUUUCCUUAGAUACUCCAUGAUUGAUCACCUGAAAACAAAUGUACAACAGCAAAUUACGAAAAAACUGUAGAGACUUUCAGAUAAGCUUAAACAGUAAAAAGUAAAUAUGUAAGUCUUAAAAAAAUAUUUUAUUGGUCAAAAUUGGAAAUAAAUAUUGCUACAUAUUUUGACAGCAAGUUAAGAGUUAAUUCAGAAAUGCCUUUCUAGCAUAAGAAAUAAGUAUGUCAUCCAAAUAUGUUUUGGCGAUAAAAAGUUACUCAAAAGUAACUCCUUUUAGCCUAGCCAAGCACAUAUAUGUUGCUCUAAGCAUCAACACACAUGAUGGUAGCUAAAGAAGAUGGUCGAACAUGGUCAAAUAACCUGAAAAAAGCCGUAUUCGCAACAUGCAUCGCCUAUUUGUUUGAUUAUUAGGCUCCUGUCUCCACAACCCAAGUCAAUCACAGGAACAUUCUCACAGUCGGCAACUUCAGAUAACCUCGGCCUUUCAGAUUGAGGACGGAUGUAACUUCUAGGGAGGCUUGAGUGUCGGAUUCCACUGGAGAUAACCUUCGCUUCCAUGGAUUCCAGUCUCUGAAUUACUGGAAAAAGGGAACAGACCAGUUAAGAUGCAACGUUGCUGUAAGGCUUUGGCAACUUCAACGAAGGUAUAAUAAGCUGCACGAUGCACCAAUGAUUUUCCACAUUCCUGGCUGCCUAAACAUUGUAAACAUGUCAUUUAUUUACCAAAAGACUGGAAUAUAAAUAUAUUAAAAGUAAGGGUAUACAGUAAAAUUCUUUAAAAUAUUUCUAGACAUUGUAAACAAAUUAAUCAUUUUCCAAACAGCGUAAUAAGAAUACAGUAAAAGUAAACAUCUCCAGUAAAAUUGCUUACAAAUUUUGCACUUCUUCAAAUCGAUAACAAAAAAAUGCUAGGGGUAAAGGUAAAAGGUUAACACAGAGAUCUCUAUAACGUAGAAAGUGUACACUUACACCUGCACACCCUUCCAAACACUAACAACAUAAAAUUUUGAUUCCAAGGGAAAAUCACAGUGGUGGUCCGCAACGCAUUGAAUCUGUGAAAACAGGUUCCCUGCCCUUAUUUCUUGUCAUAUAUAAUAUAAUAGUCAUCCUUUCGUUUGGUCCCCAGUGAAAGGAAAGUAGGAAGCCAUAAAUUUUCAGCAUUAAAUGUACUUUCAGCAUUAAAAUGCCACUUGCAAAAGUGCUGUUUUCAUGUAAAAUGGGUAAUCAGAAAUAAUUUUGUUGAAACAAGAAACAAAUAGGGAAAUGAUAGGAAUCAAAAAGGGAAAAGAAAUAACUGCAUCCAAACCACCAGCCGUGUCCGGCUGUCCCACCAUGCCCCCUGCAAGAGAUAUAGGUGUGGGUAUGCAGAAUUGGGGUUAGGGAGAUUUUGUUUUAUAAUCCCCCUUCCUUUUCCUUUUUUGAUUUUCCAUUUCUAUUUCUCUUUCAGUUGAAAAUAAAGAUAAAAUCGUCCCUCCUGCAAAAAAAAAUGUUGUCUUACAUUCAAAUGGACGAACGCCAUCUACUACUACUACCAGGGACCAAGUUGCUACAAACUUGUAAAGUUGAGGAUUACCUCACAACAAUGCCCAUAGGUCGGCUUUCAUUUUAAAAAUAAUCAUGAAGCUGACAUUGACAAUAUCAUGACAGUAACUUACAAAUUUAUGCAAUGGACAGAGAAAAAUUUACGAGUUAAUCGUAUCUCCAACACGAAAUUUGAUACAAAAUAUUUAAAGCAGCCAAGCACUAAUUCUGAAGAACUGGGCUAGCAAGAAUAAAACUUUCACGGUACUUUGAUCUGCAAUCUUUUGAGCUUAAGGCAGUGAGAUUAUCCAGCCGACCUGUCUCAAUUUAAAAAACCGUACCACCGUCCAACCAGAACCAUCCUUCUAUCAUUCUCCUAGCCUCCCAAACUUCGAAUUUCCACUCGACCAUCAAUAAGUAAACCAGCAGAACAAUCAAAUCCAAUACAAUGUAUAAUAUCGCUUAAUAUUUUAUAGAGCUAUACAAUGUCAGCAAGGGUGCCAGUAAUAUAAUGUGUAGAUGUUGUUCACUUGUUCCCAGCAACUGUAGUAGAUAAGGUGAAUCCAAUAGGUGAACUUAGCUAAAUGAGCUAACUAGCCCAUUAAACAAAUUGUCUUAAGAUUUAUGGUGUACUCGUAAAUCAUAUAGAAAAAGGAUCAAACAGAACAGUUUUCUGUAAUCAAACAACAAAUCUACUGAUUAAUAAAAAUUAAUAACUCGUAUCAUGCCCUUUAUCAUUUAGAGUAAAUUUCUAGCAGAAAUUGUUAAGGGCAAAUCCUACAUCGGUUAGUAAAGUACAAAAAUAUUAACCAACUGCUAUUCUUCUUAAGACGUUGAUGUUUUAAGAUGGAACUUGUACGGUAGGUUAAACUCAAGUUGGUCAUUUCUGUAUCGAUAAGUAAUUAUAUCUUAAGAAGAAACCAAGAAAAAGCGAAAAGCGCUUUUGAGUGCUGGAAGGAAAGAAAGGUAAAGGAAAAAGGCUCAACUUUCCCAUGCAAUUAACAUAGAAAUGACUCACUAUUCAAGUCGUCAUCCCAUAAAGUGCACACCUUUCUAAUAGCGACAACAAAAACACUGUAAACUAAGGAUUGGCUUCAUGAAUUUGUUUCACCUCUCCUUUGGUUGCUAUGUCUAGCUUAAUUCCAUUAGGUUGUUAACUAUAACUAGAUACCAAAACUUCAAUUACAAUUCAAGCAUUCGUUAAUUCGAAGAGUUAAUAAUUACAAAGCAAGCAAAACAGCAAAUUAAAAAGAAUCAGAG